GGCGGCGCCGAGGGUUGCGCCCGCGGCGUUGGUUGUGCCCGCGGCGUUGGUUGGGCCUGCAAUCGCACCCCACCCAAUCAGUUGCUUAUACAGUUGCAAGGUCAACGUUAUGUUGUUCGCAGAGAGAGAACAAAAUAAUGGAAAACAAGAAAAUGCCCAGAGACGGAAACGGAUCAAAGAUGAUGCAACACAAGCAAUGAACAGCCAAUGGCAGGAGCUUCAGAACUCGACAAGACUCGAUGGGGGUAGAGAGAGAGAGAGAGUACCAUGAGGAUUGCUGAGCGUCAAAUCGAAAGACCGACCUUCUUGAAUUCUUGGGCCUUCUUCUGCAAUCAAAAUGAGAAAAGAAAGGAGUUUGGUAAAAGACCGCUCUUCAAUACGGCCAUGUGACGCUUAUCUCGGAGCGUCUACCAAUCUUCGCUUAAAAAAAUUGAUGACAGUGCAUUGGUUUUAGCAUGUUGGCCUUUGCGGUUCACCAAAACCACAUUGACCCAAAAGCAGUCACCUUCUCCCGUACAAGAACAUCAAAUCAGAUUACUGUUCAAAGGGGAAGACUUCCCCGCAACAGCAAGUCAAGAUUCCAGAACCAGACCGAGCCUUGAAUCGCGAGCGCCUUCAUCCCUCAUUUCUUCCAACACCCCAUCAAAUAAUGAAGAAGAAGAAGAAGGAGAAGAUGAAGAUGAUGAUGAUGAAGGGUGUAACGUGCCUGUGAAGGUUCUUGGUGGGUCUCUGCGGCGACGGACGGAAGGACGGAUCGGCUCGGGCUCGCUUGGGACGGAAGGCCUCGUUUCCCUCCCGAUGCUGCUCGUGACAAUUCGCGCGAACAGAGAGCUGGAGAGCAGUUCAAGCUUCCCCUUUUGAGAUCGGGAGAAGAGCGCGCGCGUGCGUGCGUGGUUGGACUGGUGUGCGGUUCUUGCUUUCUGUUGUGAGGAAGUACAGUCCCUACGUAAAUUCUCUUUUUUAUUCUUUUUCUUUUCCUCUUUUUUUUUUUUUUUCCCCUGGGGCCAACGUGUCCAAGUUCCGUGAUUCUAAUGAUUAAUUUAGACCAGGUAAAAUUCUCUUUUGUCCAAGUUAGACCAGGUAAAAUUCUAAUGUCCAAGUUCUUGCUUUCUGUUGUGAGGAAGUACAGUCCCUACGUAAAUUCUCUUUUUUAUUCUUUUUCUUUUCCUCUUUUUAUUUUUUUUUUCCCCUGGGGCCAACGUGUCCAAGUUCCGUG
This 1216-nucleotide long non-coding RNA is filed under the name Eucalyptus grandis. RNAcentral's name for it is "long non-coding RNA (EGRA_LNC006406)". Lineage: Eukaryota; Viridiplantae; Streptophyta; Magnoliopsida; Myrtales; Myrtaceae. The record is from RNAcentral.